AAAAAAUCUUAACAAAAAAAUAUAGAAUCAUUAGUUAAUUACACAACAUAUUUUCAUUAUGCAUAAAGCACUUUAACCUAAAGCAAGAUAUUUGUUCAUAAAUUUUCUCCAACAAAAAUAUGAGUCCACAGCAUAAAAUGCCCUGCUCUUAUUUUCAUAUUUUAAUGUGAACCACAGAAUCUGGGUAAAAACCUUGAUCUGACUACCCAGGUAUUUAAAAAAAAAUAUCACAUCAUAGUAAAUUUCAGACUGAUGUGACCAAAACUUCAUGGUAAACAGUAAACCACUUUAGCCAACAUUUUCACUUGAUACCAAUGCAAAUAAACUGAUCUACAAACCAGAAAACAAAAUGUCGCAGACAUAAAAAUCUAGCUAAAGUUGCACAAGACUAAAGUGAAUUGAAGUUUAUAUUAACCUAGUUUAAAACCUGAUAAACAUUUUUUGACUCCUAGCAUAGAUAGUCAUACUCAUCAUUGUCAAAAUGUUUUUUAAAAGUUUAUCACUUGAAUCUAUGAUUUUCAAAUUUACAUUUCAAACUUAAAAGGUUUUUAAUGAAAUCAAGAUAAGGUCUUUUCUUCUUUUCUUUUUUAAUUUGCCGCCAUAUCUUAUGGAAUGACUUGACACAAAUCAACAAUACAUGUACGACUUCAAAUUGUAAAAUUUACAUUAUUCAAACUCUGAAAUUAACGAGACUUGUAUGAAGGGAAAAGGAGGCUCAAAAACACAUUCAAUGCUACUUAAACUCAUUAAUUUAAGGGGAGUUAAAUUCAAAACCUUGCUACACACUUAAUGACGUC
Molecule: long non-coding RNA, 797 nt
Filed under: Mytilus galloprovincialis (Mediterranean mussel)
Lineage: Eukaryota; Metazoa; Mollusca; Bivalvia; Mytilida; Mytilidae
Source: RNAcentral